UUUUAUGGUAUUUUGGAUUAUGGAUACUAUCCGGACUGAACCCGAACCUAAAUGGAUAUCCGAUAGAAUUCGAAACAUUUACCAAACAUUCAAAAUCCCAAAAAGAACUUGUACCAAACAUGAUCACAAUUCUUAAUAUGUAUUCAAAAUACUAAGAUGUUACUGAACAUAUAAAUUAAUUAUUUGUUACAUAAAGGUUGAUAGUUGAAGGUGACAGUUGAAGCUUGAAAUUUUAGAUUUUUUUUUUAUUGAAUCAUGUUUCUCAUUUUAUGAAAACUUGAUUUUUGUUUUAUGCUUUCAUUUAUUUGGUUUUUUUAUUAAUAACUAUGUUUACCUUUCGUUUGAUUUUGAAUGAUCAUAUUUGAUGUUUC
Molecule: long non-coding RNA, 371 nt
Filed under: Brassica rapa (field mustard)
Lineage: Eukaryota; Viridiplantae; Streptophyta; Magnoliopsida; Brassicales; Brassicaceae
Description: long non-coding RNA (BRAP_LNC000993)
Source: RNAcentral